This is a non-coding RNA of Gossypium raimondii (Peruvian cotton), 107 nucleotides long. NCBI's taxonomy places the organism in Eukaryota, Viridiplantae, Streptophyta, Magnoliopsida, Malvales, Malvaceae. The record is from Rfam.
AACCCAUGAUGAGGGCACAUUCUCAAUAGAUCCUUGUAUCUCUCCCAUGCAUCAUAUAGGGUCACUAAAUAAAUCUGGGUAAAGGAAGAAAUACCAUUCCCCAACUU